CAGUACCACGAAAAAAGCGUGAAGAUCUAAGAUAUCGCUGGAAACUUAGUAGCCUUCUGAUAUUCCUUGCAGAGACAGACACUUCAAUUUCAGAUUGAGCUGAAAUAAAAAGAAUAAAAGAGCCCUGAAGUUAAGAUUCAUUAUCAAGAGUUCUAUUUUGACCAAGUUAAGCUGCAAAUGAGUAUUAGAUAUUGACUCACAAGGAAAUGAUCACUCAUCAUGGAAGCCCAAUGCCUUCUAAGAUUAAUCUCAUAAAGAAACCUACAUAACAGGAUAAGAAAUGGACCUUCACUUAAUGAUAUAGGACCACCCUUAUCAAUUACUGAUUAUGUCACAGACAAAUUAAGAAAGGACAUGGAGCCUGUCUAGAUGAAAUGGAAGAUCAUUCAAGGAAAAGUGUUUUCUUCACCUACAGGGUCUGAGGGCCUCAUACAGGAAGCCUACACGUAACAAGAUUAUAUUCUGGUAAAGAAUGAAAAUCCCACGAGACUUUGCAGAGAUGCCAACUAAAACUACCUCAAAGUUUUGUCUAAGAUUUAAUAGAGGACCAGAACUUUCGGGGGAUGUCUGGUUUGAUUUUUUUCAUUAAUCUAAUCUUUGAAUAUGUAAUGCAUUCACGUUUCAAAAACAAGAAGGGAGGGAAGAAAGAAAAUAACAGUGAAUGAUUCAACCCUCUAUGUGUCCCCUUAUACAACCACUCUCAAGCCCUACCCCAAAAUG
This 720-nucleotide long non-coding RNA is filed under the name Homo sapiens (human). RNAcentral's name for it is "HSALNT0347426". Lineage: Eukaryota; Metazoa; Chordata; Mammalia; Primates; Hominidae. The record is from RNAcentral.